Long non-coding RNA from Panicum hallii, 474 nucleotides. RefSeq lists it as uncharacterized. The transcript is spliced from 4 exons. The record is from RefSeq and is a predicted model, not a curated record. NCBI's taxonomy places the organism in Eukaryota, Viridiplantae, Streptophyta, Magnoliopsida, Poales, Poaceae.
GGCGGUUCUGGUCGCCGCUGCAGUCCCCCGACGAGGUUGGCCGGCUGGACGGACCCGCGGGCAUUUUCGACGAGCUCCCGCCCCGGGACAGGAUGCGCGUUUUCUCCGAGUCGGCAACCUGGUACAGGUGUGAGACAUGAUCAUGGAAUGGACGAGAAUAACAAGCUGGUCACAUUAGGUACUCAGAAGAAAGAAGGGAGCGACAAUAGUGGAAAUAUGAGAUGAACUCCGAAGGUUCCAGCUUUAAGACCCUGCCAUGGGAGGCUAAGCAUAACAAUAGAGCAUGUCAAGUACGCAUUUGGGAUGUUGGUAAAAUGGGUUAUAUAGUAAAGUAGACAGGUUCAGGCCAAACCUUCCUCUUAAAAAAUAUAGCAGAAGAUAUCCAACAGACUCCAGAUCAUCUCUUCUGCUUUGUUCUGGGUGAAAUAUAUACUGGUGUAUGAAAUACGAUACAAUGUUUUUCCCUUCUUUUAA